RNAcentral lists this ribosomal RNA (464 nucleotides) under uncultured bacterium. Its description in RNAcentral is "partial 16S ribosomal RNA". It matches the Rfam family "Bacterial small subunit ribosomal RNA", at positions 28 to 507 of the family's 1533-position model. The record is from RNAcentral.
GACGAACGCUGGCGGCGUGCUUAACACAUGCAAGUCGAACGGAAAGGCCCCUUUGGGGGUACUCGAGUGGCGCACGGGUGAGUAACACGUGAGUAACCUGCCCUUGACUUCGGGAUAACUUCAGGAAACUGGGGCUAAUACCGGAUAGGAAUCCUUGCUGCAUGGUGGGGGUUGGAAAGCUUCGGCGGUUUUGGAUGGACUCGCGGCUUAUCAGCUUGUUGGUGGGGUAGUGGCUUACCAAGGCUUUGACGGGUAGCCGGCCUGAGAGGGCGACCGGCCACAUUGGGACUGAGAUACGGCCCAGACUCCUACGGGAGGCAGCAGUGGGGAAUAUUGCACAAUGGGCGGAAGCCUGAUGCAGCAACGCCGCGUGCGGGAUGACGGCCUUCGGGUUGUAAACCGCUUUCAGCAGGGGCGAAGCUUUUGUGACGGUACCUGCAGAAGAAGCACCGGCUAACUACGUG